CCUAAGUCACGUCCGAUUCUGACAAAUUGCGAACGGAAACUUUCACCGGAAGCCAUGCAAAUGCAUCGGAAAAAUCUCAAAAGGGUAGUGAGCCAUCGUGUCAGAACUACGUGAUAAACCAUCUACAUCAGAGUGUGCUGUAUCAUGUCGUCCUGUAAACUAGACACACACUGUCCCAGCUUAUUCAAGAUUCACUCAGUAGCCCUGCAGGAGAAAAGGAAAUUAGCGGCAAGGCAACUGAAAAUCUUGGAAACUUGGCGCGCAAAAGAAAAAGCAGCAAAGAACUCUUACUUCGGCGACUUGGGCGUCUUUGUGGUCUUCGUCGUUGA
RNAcentral lists this long non-coding RNA (329 nucleotides) under Eucalyptus grandis. RNAcentral describes it as "long non-coding RNA (EGRA_LNC002393)". Lineage: Eukaryota; Viridiplantae; Streptophyta; Magnoliopsida; Myrtales; Myrtaceae. The record is from RNAcentral.